RNAcentral lists this ribosomal RNA (909 nucleotides) under Macaca fascicularis (crab-eating macaque). Its description in RNAcentral is "partial 16S ribosomal RNA". The stretch from base 147 to 909 matches the Rfam family "Bacterial large subunit ribosomal RNA", at positions 566 to 1898 of the family's 2925-position model. The record is from RNAcentral. Lineage: Eukaryota; Metazoa; Chordata; Mammalia; Primates; Cercopithecidae.
GCCAAUGCUAGCCCUAAGCAUAACCAACACUAAUACCAAACCAACAUACACUAAACCAUUCACCUACACAAAGUAUAGGCGAUAGAAAUUUUAAUCUGGCGCUAUAGACAUAGUACCGUAAGGGAAAGAUAGAAAACCACCCAAGCACAAAACAGCAAAGACUAACUCCUGUACCUUUCGCAUAAUGAAUUAGCUAGAAACAAUUUUACGAAGAGGACUACAAGCCAAAUCCCCCGAAACCAGACGAGCUACCCAAAAACAGCUGAAAGAGCGCACCCGCCUAUGUGGCAAAAUAGUGGGAAGAUUUCUGGGUAGAGGUGACAAGCCUACCGAGCCUGGUGAUAGCUGGUUAUCCAAGACAGAAUCUUAGUUCAACCUUAAGCUUACCUAUAGAACUACCUAAUCCCCCUGUAAGCUUAACUGCUAGUCUAAAGAGGGACAGCUCUUUAGACACUAGGAAAAAACCUUACGGAGAGAGUAAAACCCUCAAUCACCAUAGUUGGCUUAAAAGCAGCCAUCAAUUAAGAAAGCGUUCAAGCUCAACACUAACCACCACAAAAAUACCAAACACAUAACUGAACUCCUCACACCACAUUGGAUUAAUCUAUCACCAUAUAGAAGCAACAAUGCUAGUAUAAGUAACAUGAAUAUUUUCUCCACUGCAUAAGCCUAAAUCGGACCGAAAGCCUCACCGAUAUUUAACAGCCAGGCAUAACAAGCACAAACAAGCCCAUGCCACCUUCACUGUUAACCCAACACAGGCAUGCCCCAAGGAAAGGUUAAAAAAAGUAAAAGGAACUCGGCAAACCCAAACCCCGCCUGUUUACCAAAAACAUCACCUCUAGCAUUACUAGUAUUAGAGGCACUGCCUGCCCAGUGACACACGUUUAACGGCCGCGGUACCCUGAC